This 641-nucleotide ribosomal RNA is filed under the name Sachatamia ilex (Limon giant glass frog). RNAcentral describes it as "partial 16S ribosomal RNA". It matches the Rfam family "Bacterial large subunit ribosomal RNA", at positions 1724 to 2571 of the family's 2925-position model. The record is from RNAcentral. Lineage: Eukaryota; Metazoa; Chordata; Amphibia; Anura; Centrolenidae.
UAACCCAUAUGUUAACUAACACCAGAGCAUUUCAAAAAAGAUUUAAAGAAAAAGAAGGAACUCGGCAAAUUUUAACCUCGCCUGUUUACCAAAAACAUCGCCUCUUGAAUUAAUAUAAGAGGUCUAGCCUGCCCAGUGACUCUGUUCAACGGCCGCGGUAUCCUAACCGUGCGAAGGUAGCGUAAUCACUUGUUCUUUAAAUGAGGACUAGUAUGAAUGGCAUCACGAAGGUUUUACUGUCUCCUUUUUCUAAUCAGUGAAACUAAUCUCCCCGUGAAGAAGCGGGGAUAGAUUUAUAAGACGAGAAGACCCUAUGGAGCUUUAAACUGUGUAACACUUGCACCAACCCCUUGCAAAUUUCAGAAAAACCUACUUUAUCCAUGCAAGAUUAUUAUCAGUUUUAGGUUGGGGUGACCGCGGAGCAAAAAACAACCUCCACAUUGAAGGGAUAUUCCUCCUGAGCAAAGAACAACACCUCCAUGCACCAUUACAAUGACAUCAAUUGACCCAAUAUUUUGAUCAACGAACCAAGUUACCCUAGGGAUAACAGCGCAAUCCACUUCAAGAGCCCCUAUCGACAAGUGGGUUUACGACCUCGAUGUUGGAUCAGGGUAUCCCGGUGGUGCAGCCGCUACCAAAGG